This is a long non-coding RNA of Gasterosteus aculeatus aculeatus (three-spined stickleback), 1018 nucleotides long. NCBI's taxonomy places the organism in Eukaryota, Metazoa, Chordata, Actinopteri, Perciformes, Gasterosteidae. The record is from Ensembl.
CUAGCCUGAACAAAUUAGUCUUCACUUGACCCUUAAAACAGUCACAGUCUGUGACCCCGGAUGACCUCCCGUCACAUAUAAGUACCGGUGUAGCAGCUCUCAUCCUGAGAUCAGUCCUAUUUCAUCUUCUCGCUACGCAGGUAGCUACUCUGGUAGCUAAGCUUAAACAAGCUAAUUCUCUAAUAUUGAGACAUAUUUCAGCUUAUUGCGUGUUGCCUUGCAACCAACGGUCGGAGCUGCGGACCUCCCGCCCUCCAAAGGCUGCUCCAAGCUGCCCCCCUAAGAGGAAACAGCAUGCUUCGUCGAGGGUCUAUCGAGGACCACCUGAAACGCGAAGACGGAAAUCGAUGGCGAGGCUGCUUGCAGUAGUAAUGCUGUAGUAAUCCCUCCUGCACAUGGUUCCCUCGCUCCGAUAAACACCUCGCUCCCAUUGUUUCCUGGACUUCCUUGGUACUUUCGGGCCCCCGUGGUAUCACUUUGCCCAUGGCCUGUGGAGCUUGACAGGCUUCCUACUGUACAAAACCUGAGUGAUCGGGAGUGUUGGUCAGGACCUGAUGACACUGCUGGAAAGCAUGCUGCAUUGGGGUUGGAGCCUGCAACACAGAAGGCUGGGCGGGACGGCGGGGAGGAGCGCUCUCUCACCACUCUCACCUGGGGCUAAUCACCAAUCUGGCACCAGUUAAAGCCUGCCGUCUCCUGUCGACGCAACACGACACACAUGCCAGCACGUUUGCUCAGCCUGCGCGCUGUACCCUGCCCAGCCUUCCACCGAACCUACCAGCAGCCCAGCCCCGAGCCUCACCUCAUGAGCCCCUGCAUGGGAUCACCUGGACACGAGACCCCCCUGAAUAUAUCCUUCCUUUUUGACUUCAAAACUGUCUGCCUCGGAUUUGCUUUUGGAUCCAGUUCUCAUCACCCCUAACUGUAAUGUACUGCAUGAAGCGGGGGCUAUAAACAUCUUUGUCAAUAUAGUUUUCCUACCGGAACUUACUCUGCUGAAACAUUAGCCUCAACAUUA